GGAGACAGGUGCUGCAUGGCUGUCGUCAGCUCGUGUCGUGAGAUGUGGUUAAGUCCCGCAACGAGCGCAACCCUUGUCUUUAGUUGCCAUCAUUCAGUUGGGCACUCUAAAGAGACUGCCGGUGUCAAACCGGAGGAAGGUGGGGAUGACGUCAAGUCCUCAUGGCCUUUAUGACCAGGGCUACACACGUACUACAAUGGCCGGUACAAAGGGCAGCCACUUAGCGAUAAGGAGCCAAUCCCGUAAAGCCGGUCUCAGUCCGGAUUGGAGCCUGCAACUCGACUCCAUGAAGUUGGAAUCGCUAGUAAUCGCAGAUCAGCACGCUGCGGUGAAUACGUUCCCGGGCCUU
This 349-nucleotide ribosomal RNA is filed under the name uncultured Desulfocapsa sp. RNAcentral describes it as "bacterial SSU rRNA". It matches the Rfam family "Bacterial small subunit ribosomal RNA", at positions 1030 to 1382 of the family's 1533-position model. The record is from RNAcentral. Lineage: Bacteria; Pseudomonadati; Thermodesulfobacteriota; Desulfobulbia; Desulfobulbales; Desulfocapsaceae.